Molecule: microRNA precursor, 103 nt
Filed under: Marmota monax (woodchuck)
Lineage: Eukaryota; Metazoa; Chordata; Mammalia; Rodentia; Sciuridae
Source: RNAcentral
AGUGGGAUAGCUUGAUCAAAUGGUGGUUCCAGUCCAAGUUUUCUAAGGAAUCUUCAUACUACUUUCCAAAGUAGUUGCACCAAUUUGCAGUCCCACCAGCAAU